Long non-coding RNA from Rosa rugosa (rugosa rose), 1812 nucleotides. RefSeq lists it as uncharacterized. The record is from RefSeq and is a predicted model, not a curated record. The transcript has 3 exons. NCBI's taxonomy places the organism in Eukaryota, Viridiplantae, Streptophyta, Magnoliopsida, Rosales, Rosaceae.
CAUACGUAUAUACGGUCUGUACGGUAUGCAUACGUAUAUACGGUAUGUACAAUUUCAUACCGUAGCCGAGCUGGAAGUUGGUGGGCCGAUUGGUAGGCCCAAAUAGUAAGCCCAAUUGUUCGGCCCGAAUGGUAGGCCCAAAUGGUAGGCCCAAAUGUUAAGCCCAAUCGUUCGGCCCGAAUAGUAGGCCCAAAUGUUAAACCCAAAGUGGUUUGGGCCGGUUCGAAAUGUGGAUGGUUCGGUUUCUUCGGCUCAAUUGGCCAGCCUUAAUGCUUAGCCCAAGGAUUGAGCAAGCCCAAGUCAUCAUCACUGGGUCACAUGUUUUAUUGGCGUGCUUUGGAGAAUGAUUUGUUUUGAGUGAUGCUAAUUGAGUAGCGAAACGCUUUGUGGGAGUGUUUACUGUGCUUGUAUGCCAGUACAGGGUGAAGAUCUAUGUGAGGAUCUAUGAGAUAAUCUCUGUGAAGAUCUAAGUAAUGAUCUAUGUGAUGAUCCAUGUGAUGAUUUUGUGUAAUUGAUGUGGAGUGAUGUUGAGCAGUUGUGUUGUGAGUUUACGUUUGUGAUGAAAGGAUUUAGUGGCCAUAGGAAUGUAUUUUUAUACAAAGGGCUGAGGCUUUGUAGAUUACUACAGAUUUGGAAAAGAUGGAGAUUCUAUAGUUAGGUCAACCUUAAUCGAGAGGAAUUGACUUACGCUUAAAUUUCGGGACGAAAUUUCUUUAAGGAGGGUAGAUUGUAAUACCCCGAAAAAUCCAAAUUAAAUUCUGUGGAUUUUUAGAAAUGAUUUCACGAUAGUGGGAGCGAGUACGAGGCUCGGAGGAAUUGUGGAAUUAGUUCGAACGAUUAAUUUUCGAAAAACGAACGUUAUUUAGGGGGUCUCAAAAAGUGACUUUUUAUACAUUGGGAAUUUGGGAAAACUUCCUUCAUGAAAGUUGUAGAGGACAUUAAACCGAGUGCGUGCAUAUGUGGUACGUAAAAAUCGGAGUUCGUAUGCGAAAGUUAUAAGCAAAAUAUGAAAGUUACUGUUUAUGGUAGAUUGGUAUAAAUUUGAAAUGUUACUGUAGCCAGGUAACUUUUCUUUCUUUUCUCUCUCCUUCCCCCGUGCUCUCUCAGUCUCUCUCUUCUGCAACUCUCUCUUUCUCUCUUCUGCAACCUCCUCUUUCACCACCUCUAGACCACCAAAUGGCGAGCUGCGAGCAUCGAUAGACUCGUCUCUUCCUCCUUAUCACGCAUGUGGGAGUUGUUUACGACGAUUUGGCCGGAAAUGUGGAGAUCGAAGCCAACAUUUUUACUGUAGCAAAUUAGUCAACGCCGAUUUCCGGCCACCUCCAGUCAUAAACCCAGGUCCAUUAGAAGCGCCUUAAGCCGCUCUUCAUGCUCGCCAAGUCUCAUAACCCAGAUCGAAGCAUGGAGGAAGAAAGCAUAAUUGGAAAAUUUCACUGUACAUCGGAGUGCUUAAUUGUUCGACUACUUCAAGGUGAUUGACGGUUUGAGUUGGUGGACGAUUGUGGAUCGUAUUUUGAGCUGAAUUGAAGACGCAGCGGGAUUAUCGAGCGGGUAAUCCUACAGGACAGGAGAACCAGGACGGUGAUCGCGCGGUUAGAGCAAUUGUUAGAGUUUUACAACAAUUGUAAGUUGUGAGGUGUGUUAUGCUCAUUUGAGCUUUAUAAUAUAUUGUGAGAGUGAAUUGUAAUAAUGAACUCGAAGUUUCGAGAUUUGGAUUUUGUAAUUGUAAUUAUUCAGGUUUCGGAUUUGAAUUUAUCAUUCAAAAUCCGGGGCGUGACAAUUCUGGUUGUGCAAUUUUAAAUUCAUAGUUUU